RNAcentral lists this ribosomal RNA (348 nucleotides) under uncultured bacterium. Its description in RNAcentral is "bacterial SSU rRNA". It matches the Rfam family "Bacterial small subunit ribosomal RNA", at positions 169 to 507 of the family's 1533-position model. The record is from RNAcentral.
CCCGGUAUGGCGCAGCGGUCUUCGGAUCGCGGCGAGAAAGACCCGCAAGGGUUGCCAGAGGACGAGCCUGCGGCCCAUCAGCUAGUUGGCGAGGUAACGGCUCACCAAGGCGAAGACGGGUAGCUGGUCUGAGAGGAUGAUCAGCCACACUGGAACUGAGACACGGUCCAGACUCCUACGGGAGGCAGCAGUGGGGAAUAUUGCGCAAUGGGCGAAAGCCUGACGCAGCCACGCCGCGUGAGCGAUGAAGGCCUUCGGUCGUAAGACUCUGUGGGGAGGAGAAGAAUAAAGACCUGUGAAGAGCAGGCCUUGACGGUAUCUCCUUAGCAAGCACCGGCUAACUCCGUG